RNAcentral lists this ribosomal RNA (398 nucleotides) under uncultured bacterium. Its description in RNAcentral is "partial 16S ribosomal RNA". It matches the Rfam family "Bacterial small subunit ribosomal RNA", at positions 523 to 918 of the family's 1533-position model. The record is from RNAcentral.
AUACGUAGGGUGCGAGCGUUGUCCGGAAUUACUGGGCGUAAAGAGCUCGUAGGUGGUUUGUCGCGUCGUCUGUGAAAUUCCGGGGCUUAACUCCGGGCGUGCAGGCGAUACGGGCAUAACUUGAGUACUGUAGGGGAGACUGGAAUUCCUGGUGUAGCGGUGAAAUGCGCAGAUAUCAGGAGGAACACCGGUGGCGAAGGCGGGUUUCUGGGCAGUAACUGACGUUGAGGAGCGAAAGCAUGGGUAGCGAACAGGAUUAGAUACCCUGGUAGUCCAUGCCGUAAACGGUGGGCGCUAGGUGUAGGGGUCUUCCACGACUUCUGUGCCGUAGCUAACGCAUUAAGCGCCCCGCCUGGGGAGUACGGCCGCAAGGCUAAAACUCAAAGGAAUUGACGGGG